GGGAAGUAUGGCGGCUGCUCGAACGCCGCGCGGCGGAGGCCAUUAAGGCGUGGACGGCCCGGGAAGGCGGCCUAGGGACGCAAGCAGGCUCGGCCGCCUCUUUCGGCCACGGAGCCGCGCAGAUCCGGUUCCCGGUUGACCACUCUGUCGCCAUUGGGCGAGACCUACCUAGUCCUGACGACAACGGACAAAGGCCUUAAGGGGCCUGAAAGCAACCUCCAGUCCUGCAAGCUUCAUUCCUGAAUGGUAGAAAGCAGUCUUCAGCCUGAGACCCAUCCCUAGACUCUAUGGCACAAAGAGGCACUACAGAAAAUCCCAGAAUUUAUUCCGACUGAAGCAAUAUGCAACUGGCAAAACUGGCAGCUGAAAGGAUCCUGAAUCAGAAGGCCUCCCUAUUUCCUGCGACACAACAAUAUUAAAAUUAGGCCAUUUAAUAAUAUAAAAUAGUCUCUAAAUGUUCCAUGGAAAGGAAGAGUUGCAAGUCUCUCGCUUUCAACUGAAAGUCAGAAAUGAUUAACUUUACUGAGGAAAGCAUGCCAAAACUCAAAGACAGGCCAAAAACUAGAUCUCCUGCAUCAGUUAACUACAUUGUAAAUGCAAAAGAAAAAUUUUGGAAGGAAGUUAAAGUGCUGCUCCAGUGAACUUUAUGAAUGAUGAUAAAACCAAAGAGGCCUAUAGAUGAUAUGGAGAAAAUAUUAGUGAUCUGGAUAGAGGAUGAAGCAAGCCAUAGCAUUCUUUUAAGCCAAAGCCUAACCUACAACAAGGCUCUAUUCUCUUCAAUUCUGUGAAGGCUGAGAGAGGUGAGGAAGCUGCAGAGGAAAAUUUAAAGAUAGUCGUAGUGAGUUCUAGAGAUUUAAGGAAAGAAGCUGUCCCCAUAACAUAAAAGUACCAGAUGGAGCAGUAAGUGUUGAUAUAGAAGCUGCAGCUAGUUAUACAGAAGAUCUAGCUGAGCUAAAUGAUGAAGGUGUCUACAUUAAAUAACAGAUUUGUAUUGUAGAUAAAGCAACCUUCUGUUGGAAUAAGAUGUCAUCUGGGACUUUGAUAGCUCAAAAGAAGUCAUUGCCUGGUUUCAAAGCUUUAAAGGACAGAAUGACUUUCUUGUUAGGGGCUAAAGCAGCUUGUGAUAAGUGGAAGCCAAUGCUCAUUCAUCUUUCCAUUAAUCCUAGGGCCCUUAAUAAUUAAAUUUACUCUGCCUGUGCUCUAUCAAUGAAACAACAAAGCCUGGAUAAUAGCACAUCUAUUUGUAGCAUGGUUUACUGAAGAUUUAUACGCAUUUUUGAGAUUUACUGCUCAGAAAAAAAGAUUUCCUUCAAAAUAUUACUGCUCAUUGACAAUGCACCUAGUUACACAAGAGCCCUACAAAGAGAUCAAUGUUGUUUGCAUACAUAACACAGCAUCCAUUCUGCAGCACAUGGAUCAAGGAGCAAUUUUGACUUACAAGUGUUAUUAGUUAAGAAAUGUACUUCAUAAACCUAUAGUUGCUAUAAAUAGUGAUUCCUCUGAUGGACCUGUGCUAAGAAAAUUGAAAAUCUUGUGGAAAGAAGUCAUCAUUCUAGAUGCUAUUAAGAACAUUCAUCAUUUAUGGAAAAAGGUGAAAACAUCAACAUUAAUAGGAGUUUGGAAGAAGUGGAUUCCAAACCCCAUGGAUGACCUUGAGUGAGUCAAGACUUCAGUGGAGGAAGUAACUGCAGAUGUUGUGAAAAUACCAAAAACCUAGAAUUAGAAGUGGACCCUGAAGAUCUGAAUAAAUUGCUGUCAUCUCAUGAUAAAAUUUUAAUGGAAGAGGAAGUGCUUCUUAUAGAUGAACAAAAGGAAUGGUUUCUCUAGUUGGAAUGCACUCAUAGUGAAGAUGUUACGAACAUUGUUGAAAUGACAACAAAUAAUUUAGUGUAUUACAUAAACUUAGUUAAUAAGGAAGUAGCAAGGUUUGAAAGGAUUGACUCCAUCCAAUUUUGAAAGAUGUUCUAUUGUGGGUAAAAUGCCAUCAAACGGCAUCACAUGCUACACAUAAAUAUUUCAUGAAAGGAAGAGUCAAAUAAUGCAACAAACUGCAUUGCUUUCUUAUUUUAAGAAAUUGCCGCAGCCACCCCAGUCUUCAGCAACUACUAUCCUAAUCAGUCAGUAGCCAUCAAAGUUGAAGAAAGACCAUACAUCUGAAAAAGAUUACAACUCACUGAAGAUGAUAGUUAACAUUUGUUAGCAUGAAGCAUUUUAAUUAAGGCAUGUAUGUUUGUAGACAUGAUGCUAUUUCACACAUAAUAGACUAAGGUAUAGUGUAAUCAUAACUUUUAUAUGCACUGAAAAACCAAAAAAAUUGUGACACCUGCUUUAUUGUGAUAUUCACUUUAAUGUGGUGGUCUGAAACUGAACCCACAAUAUCUCGAAGUUAUGUCUGUAAACCAAUAUGCGUUUAUUGCUGUGAAAAUAUUUUGUAUAUGCCAUUAACGUCUACAAUUGGUUCACUUUAAAUAAAGGAGUUUAUCUCCGGUAA
RNAcentral lists this long non-coding RNA (2491 nucleotides) under Pan troglodytes (chimpanzee). RNAcentral describes it as "lincRNA". The record is from RNAcentral. Lineage: Eukaryota; Metazoa; Chordata; Mammalia; Primates; Hominidae.